ACGGGUGAGUAACACGUGGGUAACCUACCCAUCAGAGGGGGAUAACACUUGGAAACAGGUGCUAAUACCGCAUAAUAAUCAACCCCCCAUGGUGUUGAUUUGAAAGACGCUUUCGGGUGUCACUGAUGGAUGGACCCGCGGUGCAUUAGCUAAUUGGUGAGGUAACGGCUCACCAAGGCCAUGAUGCAUACCCAACCUGAGAGGGUGAUCGGCCACACUGGGACUGAGACACGGCCCAAACUCCUACUGGAGGCAGCAUUAUGGAAUCUUCGGCAAUGGACGAAAGUCUGACCGAGCAACACCGCGUGAGUGAAGAAAGUUUUCGGAUCGUAAAACUCUGUUGUUACAGAAGAACAAGUACGAAAGUAACUGCUCUUACCUUGACUGUAUCUAACCAGAAAGCCACGGCUAACUACGUGCCAGCAGCCGCGGUAAUACGGGGUGGCAAGCGUUGUCCGGAUUUAUUGGGCGUAAAGCGAGCGCAGGCGGUUUCUUAAGUCUGAUGUGAAAGCCCCCGGCUCAACCGGGGAGGGUCAUUGAAAAACUGGGAGACUUGAGUGCUCAAGA
This 567-nucleotide ribosomal RNA is filed under the name uncultured Enterococcus sp. Its description in RNAcentral is "bacterial SSU rRNA". It matches the Rfam family "Bacterial small subunit ribosomal RNA", at positions 102 to 655 of the family's 1533-position model. Lineage: Bacteria; Bacillati; Bacillota; Bacilli; Lactobacillales; Enterococcaceae. The record is from RNAcentral.